This is a long non-coding RNA of Oreochromis aureus, 855 nucleotides long. Lineage: Eukaryota; Metazoa; Chordata; Actinopteri; Cichliformes; Cichlidae. The record is from Ensembl.
GGUUAUUCUGUCCUUCUUGGGAAAAACAAAACGAUUGGAAAUCGUUCAUUUGGAAAUUAAUUGAGCAGAAGUGAAUAAAAUGCCUGCUGGGACAUCUGCGUCUCUCUGCUGGAUUCUACUCUCUGUCUGCCUCCUGUUUGCCUUUACAGAUACGAACCUCACAAAUGCAGAGUUACAGCCUACAAAUGGAGGAUCCCGGGAAGCGUGAAGGAGCUACCAGAAACAAAUCACAGCCAAGUCUGGACAGAACACCACUCUGCCAUGUCGAGUGCCAAACAUAAACAAGCCCAUUAUUGUUGUAGAGUGGAGCAGAGCUGACCUGGGAGAUGAAUAUGAAUAUGUUCUUUUCUACCGGGACAAGAAUUUUGAUACAGAAAACCAGCAUUCAUCGUUUGUGGAUCGGGCAGACCUGCAGGACGGACAGAUGAAGGAUGGAGACGUGUCUUUGAUUUUGAAGAAUGUGACGAUUAAUGACACUGGAAUAUAUGAGUGUCGUGUUGAGACAGAUACAAAUCUGCUUUUGUUGUUGUUGGGAGUUGUAUUGAUUUUAUGAUCAAUAGAAGAACAAAAAGAAAACAUCAAGAAAAAAACUUUAAGAAAAAUCAGGUCAAAAUUCAUAGCAUUAUAUUUAGUCACAAGAAAUUUCACUAAAUAUUCAGUUCAAAAGAAAUUUUGGGUGAUUUCAAGGAAAACAUGUCAUCCACUGAAAAUAACUGGAAACGUUAGUGAUGGAAAAUAUGUUAAAAUGAUCUAAUCUUAAGACAACUGCAAACUUCAAAGAUCAACACAUCAGAUUUAACCAGCUUGUUUAAACAGUCUGAUCACAUAUGUGACAGAUGGAUUUCAGCCUGAGAU